UGCCAUGAGUGAGUGGCAGUAUCGUAGGCAAUGAGGUUAAUCCCAGGUGCGUUUAUUGCUAGUUGAAAAUUUUUCCUAGUGCAGACUGACCAGGAAACAGGGACCUGGCAGUCACUGGUCCCUGUGUCAGG
This 131-nucleotide small nuclear RNA is filed under the name Crocodylus porosus (Australian saltwater crocodile). RNAcentral's name for it is "U4 spliceosomal RNA (ENSCPRG00005015113.1)". The stretch from base 1 to 83 matches the Rfam family "U4 spliceosomal RNA". From Rfam's summary of the family: U4 small nuclear RNA (U4 snRNA) is a component of the major U2-dependent spliceosome. The structure of U4 snRNA from yeast and human has been reported. U4 snRNA presents a k-turn RNA motif in the 5p-SL related to recognition of Snu13 protein. Lineage: Eukaryota; Metazoa; Chordata; Crocodylia; Crocodylidae. The record is from RNAcentral.